UAGAAACAUCGCUUCACGUACGAUCACCGAAGUUAAGCAACAUCCGGCCUGGUCAGUACCUAGAUGGAUGACCGCUUGGGAAUUCCAGGUGCUGUAAG
This 98-nucleotide ribosomal RNA is filed under the name Acanthosepion pharaonis. The record is from RNAcentral. Lineage: Eukaryota; Metazoa; Mollusca; Cephalopoda; Sepiida; Sepiidae.